AUGAGACACUGGGGAGCUCUGCUGGGGUUCCUGUGGGUCCAGGUUUCCUGGUUGAGAGGGAUGGAGGUGGAGCAGAGCCCUUCAGCCCUGAGCCUCCAGGAGGGAGUCAGCUCUACUCUGAAGUGCAAUUUUUCUAGCACUGUGGACAGUGUGCAGUGGUUCCGACAGAAUCCCGGGGGCGGUGGCCUCACCUCACUGUUUUACAUAGCUUCGGGGAUGAAGCAGAGUGGAAGGUUAAACUGCACAGUGAAUACUAGGGAACGGUCCAGCACCCUCCACAUCACGGUCUCCCAACUGGAAGACUCAGCCACCUACCUGUGUGCGGCGCAGACACAGUGCUCCCUGGUGAUCUGCAGCUUGCACCCAAACUGCAGGUGGGCCUGCACCCCAGCCCUUCCACCAGGAGGCCUUGCAGAGCAACAGUGCACAGCAUGCUUAGACCAUCUGGGGCUCUGCUGGGCUCCAAAGCGGGUGGCGAUAAACCUGGACAAUAAAUUAUUACAAAAUAAAAGUGUGUAUGUUGACAUUGCAUAA
Molecule: non-coding RNA, 534 nt
Organism: Odobenus rosmarus divergens (Pacific walrus)
Lineage: Eukaryota; Metazoa; Chordata; Mammalia; Carnivora; Odobenidae
Source: the annotation of a RefSeq genome assembly